UACAGAGGUGGCAAGCGUUGUUCGGAAUUACUGGGCGUAAAGGGCGCGUAGGCGGCCAUCUAAGUCAGACGUGAAAUUCCCCGGCUUAACCUGGGAACUGCGUCUGAUACUGGACGGCUUGAGUAUGGGAGAGGGAUGUAGAAUUCCAGGUGUAGCGGUGAAAUGCGUAGAUAUCUGGAGGAAUACCGGUGGCGAAGGCGGCAUCCUGGACCAUUACUGACGCUGAGGCGCGAAAGCCAGGGGAGCAAACGGG
This 253-nucleotide ribosomal RNA is filed under the name uncultured bacterium. RNAcentral's name for it is "partial 16S ribosomal RNA". It matches the Rfam family "Bacterial small subunit ribosomal RNA", at positions 524 to 776 of the family's 1533-position model. The record is from RNAcentral.